AUUGAACGCUGGCGGCAGGCCUAACACAUGCAAGUCGAGCGGAUGAAGGGAGCUUGCUCCUGGAUUCAGCGGCGGACGGGGGAGUAAUGCCUAGGAAUCUGCCUGGUAGUGGGGGAUAACGUCCGGAAACGGGCGCUAAUACCGCAUAAGUCCUGAGGGAGAAAGUGGGGGAGCUUCGGACCUCACGCUAUCAGAUGAGCCUAGGUCGGAUUAGCUAGUUGGUGGGGUAAAGGCCUACCAAGGCGACGAUCCGUAACUGGUCUGAGAGGAUGAUCAGUCACACUGGAACUGAGACACGGUCCAGGCUCCUACGGGAGGCAGCAGUGGGGAAUAUUGGACAAUGGGCGAAAGCCUGAUCCAGCCAUGCCGCGUGUGUGAAGAAGGUCUUCGGAUUGUAAAGCACUUUAAGUUGGGAGGAAGGGCAGUAAGUUAAUACCUUGCUGUUUUGACGUUACCAACAGAAUAAGCACCGGCUAACUUCGUG
RNAcentral lists this ribosomal RNA (484 nucleotides) under uncultured bacterium. Its description in RNAcentral is "partial 16S ribosomal RNA". It matches the Rfam family "Bacterial small subunit ribosomal RNA", at positions 30 to 507 of the family's 1533-position model. The record is from RNAcentral.